UACGUAGGGUGCGGGCGUUGCCCGGAUUUAUUGGGCGUAAAGGGCGCGUAGGCGGCCACGCACGUCCGUUGUGAAAUCGCCCGGCUCAACUGGGCGGGGUCAGCGGAUACGGUGUGGCUCGAGCAAGCUAGGGGGCAAUGGAAUUCCCGGUGUAGUGGUGGAAUGCGUAGAUAUCGGGAGGAACACCAGUGGCGAAGGCGGUUGCCUGGAGCUUUGCUGACGCUGAGACGCGAAAGCGUGGGGAGCGAACAGG
This 253-nucleotide ribosomal RNA is filed under the name uncultured bacterium. RNAcentral describes it as "partial 16S ribosomal RNA". It matches the Rfam family "Bacterial small subunit ribosomal RNA", at positions 524 to 776 of the family's 1533-position model. The record is from RNAcentral.